AGACUCUGAAUUCCUCUGUACACUUGGGUGCAAGAAAUGUCCACACUUCCCUCCAGCUUCUGGGAACUCAUCUUCUCCGGUUUGGGGCAUAGCUGUCUCCCCUGUGAAGCAUCGCCUUCCAUCUCUUCCCUUUUUAGGAGGACUUCAGCUUCUCUUCUUGAAGAGCCAAGAACUCUCACAGUCCUGGUUGGGGCUUUUUCCAGGAUAGUUUUUUGUUGUUGUUGUUGUUAAGAUUUUAUAUUUUUUCCCUUUUUCUCCUCAAGCCCCCCAGUGCAUAGUUGUAUAUAUUUUUAGUUGUGGGUCUUUCCAGUUGUGGCAUGUGGGAUGCCGCCUCAGCAUGGCUUGAUGAGCAGUGCUGCGUCUGCGCCCAGGAACCAAACUGCUGAAACCCUUGGCCGUAGAAGCGGAGCGCAUAAACUUAACCACUCGGCUGCAGGGCCGGCCUGACCCCUCCAGGAUAGUCUUUGAAACGCAAAGAAGCUCUUAAAGUUCUUACACCUGAGCAUAACAGGAUCCUGAGCCUCAGGACAAAAAGCCAACGUUCUGUCCAGAGAGGAAAAGGUGGGGAAAAUUGCCCUUUCCUUCUAUCAAGUAAGUCUCCACCAUAAAUAAAAACAGGGCACAAAUGACCACGUCAGUGAUCUAUCCUGUUCCACAGUCCUGGGUUCCAAAUCCCCCCUCUGCAACCAACCACAGGGGAAACCUGGCAAAAUGACGCCACAGUCCUCUCAGCCCUGGUUUCUUCAAUUACAAAAUGGUGCCGAUACCAAUCAUACAAGGAUGUCGUCGUUAGUAAAUGAAAUUAGUUUUUUUUAAAGCUCGAUACCUAAGGUCCUAAUAAGUGUAUUGUCUUUUCUUUCUUCCUACAGGAGGAAUUACCUGGUAGCACGGAAGUAUGAACAUCUGAAUUAGGUGGUCCGGGUGACAGAGCUCUGAGAACAGUGAUGCACUUUGCCAGAUUUUUUUUUUAAGUGAGGAAGAUUUGCCCUGAGUUAACAUCUGUUGCAAGCCUCCUCUUUUUUUGCUUGAAGAAGAUUAACCCUGAACUAACGUCUGUGCCAGUCUUCCUCUGUUUUGUAUGGGAUGCCUCCACA
RNAcentral lists this long non-coding RNA (1094 nucleotides) under Equus asinus (donkey). RNAcentral's name for it is "lncRNA (ENSEASG00005037499.1)". The record is from RNAcentral. Lineage: Eukaryota; Metazoa; Chordata; Mammalia; Perissodactyla; Equidae.